GUGUUAUUGAGCCAGAGACACAUAAAUCCACACUGAAGCAGCCACGGGGGAAUGUGAACAGGAGACCGGAGGAGACUGUGGGCUGUGGCAGGAGAGAGAGGAGAUGACACAGGCCGUGAGCGGCUGGAGUGGUGAGCAGUGACCGAUCCCAUUCUCGCCCAGCCAUCUCCUAAGAACCACCCGUUUCUUCCAUCCCUCUGGCCAGGCUGGCCCAGGCAUGAGGGCACCGAGAGCAGAGCUUGUUUCAGUCAGAGGAGUAGACUGCCUGAGGCCCUCUUCAUCCCAUCCUUCAGCCCUGUCCGCGGGCAGAGAAGUGAGCACAUGUCAAUCAGAAGCAAGCACCAGCCCGUCAAUGCGUCUGACCGUGAAAGUCUCUGUUCUUCCGACGGCUGCCUGAUCUACAGGGUUCUCUGAGCGGCACAUCAUUCCCAUGCCCCUCAUGGUUCAACGUCCUGAGCAUCGCUAACACAUUGUUUUUACCUAAAAUAAUUCUCAACUGUGCAACUUGAAAGUGAUUAUUUUAAUCAAGAUUAAAAAAAAAAACAAACCCAAAACUUUUCAUUGGUUUGUCCAGAGUGGAU
Molecule: long non-coding RNA, 581 nt
Organism: Pipistrellus kuhlii (Kuhl's pipistrelle)
Lineage: Eukaryota; Metazoa; Chordata; Mammalia; Chiroptera; Vespertilionidae
Exons: 3
Source: RefSeq, a predicted model, not a curated record